RNAcentral lists this transfer RNA (543 nucleotides) under uncultured cyanobacterium. RNAcentral's name for it is "partial 16S-23S ribosomal RNA intergenic spacer". The stretch from base 212 to 284 matches the Rfam family "tRNA". The record is from RNAcentral. Lineage: Bacteria; Bacillati; Cyanobacteriota.
CAGGGAGACAACAAAAUGUUAAAUAUUAAUUUUGUCACCUUAGGUCGAUCGGUAUCUCAGGUCCUUAAUUACUUUAAGAAUUUCAAUUCCUAAGUUUUUUCUAGGUCACACCCAUUACUUUCCCUGGGCCAUUAGCUCAGGUGGUUAGAGCGCACUCCUGAUAAGGGUGAGGUCCCUGGUUCAAGUCCAGGAUGGCCCAUAUCUCUAUGUUGGGGGUAUAGCUCAGUUGGUAGAGCGCCUGCUUUGCAAGCAGGAUGUCAGCGGUUCGAGUCCGCUUACCUCCAUUGAUUACCACUUCUUCCAUAAAUUUAAAGAAGGGAAUUGUUAAUAGAGGUGAUUUAGUUCUGAACGAAUCUAGCUUCCUAAUAAAUACAUUAAGAUGCUGGACUCAUUGAAUUUUAUUCAUUGUUUUCAGAGAACCUUGACAACUGCAUAGAUUAUUUUUAAAGACAAUAAGCAUCUUUAAUGAUGCAGAUUUAUUAUUUGUGCUAAUGCAUUAAUAACAAUUCUAUUGAGCUGAUGCUUCAAUUUUUUGAAGUUAUU